CAUUAAGAAGCUAGUAGCGCUAACCUUUUAAGUUAGAGACUGAGAGCUAAACUCUCCUUAAUGA
Molecule: transfer RNA, 64 nt
Filed under: Hexaprotodon liberiensis (pygmy hippopotamus)
Lineage: Eukaryota; Metazoa; Chordata; Mammalia; Artiodactyla; Hippopotamidae
Description: tRNA-Lys
Rfam family: tRNA
About the family: Transfer RNA (tRNA) molecules are approximately 80 nucleotides in length. Their secondary structure includes four short double-helical elements and three loops (D, anti-codon, and T loops).
Source: RNAcentral